UGCGCAGGCGGGGAAAUAAGUCAGUGGUGAAAAGCUGCCGCUUAACGGUAGUCUUGCCAAUGAUACUGUUUUUCUUGAGUAUGGUUAAGGUAGGCGGAAUGUGCAGUGUAGCGGUGAAAUGCAUAGAGAUUGCACAGAAGGCCGAUUGCGGAGGCAGCUUACUGGGCCAUAACUGACGCUGAGGCACGAAAGCGUGGGGAUCGAACAGGAUUAGAUACCCUGGUAGUCC
RNAcentral lists this ribosomal RNA (229 nucleotides) under uncultured bacterium. RNAcentral's name for it is "partial 16S ribosomal RNA". It matches the Rfam family "Bacterial small subunit ribosomal RNA", at positions 568 to 796 of the family's 1533-position model. The record is from RNAcentral.